UACGUAGGGGCCAAGCGUUGUCCGGAAUCACUGGGCGUAAAGCGCGCGCAGGCGGCGAUCUACGUCUGGGGUGAAAGCCCGGAGCUCAACUCCGGGACUGCCUUGGAUACGGGAUCGCUUGAGGAUUGGAGAGGCAAGGGGAAUUCCACGUGUAGCGGUGAAAUGCGUAGAUAUGUGGGGGAACACCUGUGGCGAAGGCGCCUUGCUGGCCAAUUUCUGACGCUGAGGCGCGAAAGCGUGGGGAGCAAACAGG
This 253-nucleotide ribosomal RNA is filed under the name uncultured bacterium. RNAcentral describes it as "partial 16S ribosomal RNA". It matches the Rfam family "Bacterial small subunit ribosomal RNA", at positions 524 to 776 of the family's 1533-position model. The record is from RNAcentral.